AGGUCAUGGUUUGGGUAAUUUCGAAGUACCCCCUAUAUCUUUUCCAUGCUUCAUAUAAAGACUCUCCACCUUGUUGUUUGAAGUUGGCUAUAUUCUUCUUGAAUUU
Lactuca sativa (garden lettuce) is the source of this 106-nucleotide small nucleolar RNA. NCBI's taxonomy places the organism in Eukaryota, Viridiplantae, Streptophyta, Magnoliopsida, Asterales, Asteraceae. The record is from RefSeq and is a predicted model, not a curated record.